CUCUGAAGCAUGCAGCGCAGGAGUUAAACAGAGAACACGUGUCUCAGGAACCCUGUGGCCUUCGUCAGCGGCUAAUUAAAUCCCAGCCUAUUCAUUCUGUUUAAUGUGGUUUUAAUUCAAUUACAGGCAGGGUCAGGGAAGGGUUCUCUGCAGCAGUGGAAAGAGAGAGAUAGAGGGACGUUGUUGACACUGGACAUAGAUGACGUGAGCAAUAACUGCAUUAGACUCCUGAACGAGGAGAGGGACAGAAGCAGAUAUACAGUGGGUUACCAGGAUGGCUGAAUGGUUGCACACACCUCGGGAGUGACGUAGGAGAGGAAGACUUGGAAGAGGAGAUCGUUGGAGAAGCGCUGGAGGAACUCUGGAGGUUAGGAGAUUUCUGCUGGAGAAGAGGUAAGUCGAGAGGUAAGUUUGAAGAGUCAAUGCAAGUAACUAAGACAGGGAAAGUUCCACUGUGAAGCUACGAGAUCGGACAAAUGAAAGUGACUGAGGUGUAUGCUCAUGUGGUGGUGAGUGAAUGAGAUCAGGUGCUGGUGAUUAAAUGAUUGGAUUGUGAACAGGUGCUGGUGAUUAAUGCUCGAGUGAGGAAGUGCUCUGUUGGUGAUG
Long non-coding RNA from Cyprinus carpio carpio, 606 nucleotides. The record is from Ensembl. Lineage: Eukaryota; Metazoa; Chordata; Actinopteri; Cypriniformes; Cyprinidae.